This 322-nucleotide unclassified non-coding RNA is filed under the name uncultured Glomus. Its description in RNAcentral is "SSU rRNA". It matches the Rfam family "Eukaryotic small subunit ribosomal RNA", at positions 569 to 895 of the family's 1831-position model. The record is from RNAcentral. Lineage: Eukaryota; Fungi; Glomeromycota; Glomeromycetes; Glomerales; Glomeraceae.
AGCAGCCGCGGUAAUUCCAGCUCCAAUAGCGUAUAUUAAAGUUGUUGCAGUUAAAAAGCUCGUAGUUGAACUUCGGGGUCUACCCAUUGGUCAGGCUUAAUUGUCUGCACUGGUGAGAUGGAUCUCUACCUUCUGAGGAACUUUCAUGCCAUUUAUUUGGUGUGAUGGGAAAUCAGGACUGUUACUUUGAAAAAUUAGAGUGUUUAAAGCAGACUAUCGUCUGAAUACAUUAGCAUGGAAUAAUGAAAUAGGACGGACUGAUUCUAUUUCGUUGGUUUCUAGGAUCACCGUAAUGAUUAAUAGGGAUAGUUGGGGCAUUAGU